This is a non-coding RNA of Potamilus streckersoni, 73 nucleotides long. NCBI's taxonomy places the organism in Eukaryota, Metazoa, Mollusca, Bivalvia, Unionida, Unionidae. The record is from the annotation of a GenBank genome assembly.
GCUCCGGUGGCCUAGUGGUAAGAGAGUUUUCCUCGGAUGCGGGAGGUCGUGGGUUCGAUCCCCGGUCGAGUCA